GACCCGGGGGUCCGGACCCUGCACGCAUGAGUGGGGGAGGUGGAGGCUUUCCCCUCAUCUCCCCGGAGAGAAACUGACACUGCCAGGCUGGAACCUUCCAUUCCGGCCCAGCCUCUUCCUCCCUCGCUGUGCCGAGGAGGGAUCUAGAAGGGACUUUCCAGAGAGGGUUAGCGUGCAGGGUGUGGAAAUGGAAUAAAAGCAUAUGCAAAUAGGCCUUAGCUGCCUUCCUCUACCCCAGCAAAUAAGAGUCUUUCUCCAGAAAGAUGCUCUUUCUCCAAGACGCUUGACCGCUCUUCCUUCCCUGGAUGGCACCAGCAGGGCCUAUUGGAGUGGUAAACCCUGGGCCGGAAGGCAUGCCAAAGGGGGGGCAGGAUGGACAGGAGACAGCAGCACAACGAGGAGGGGGAGAACGGCGGCUGAAUUGGAAAUGAUAAAAUAAAAUGAAAUUUUAGGAACUAGCUGGCUGGGACAGGCCUGGACUGCAAGGAGGGGUCUUUGCACCAUCUCUGAAAAGCCGAUGUGUAUCCUCAGCUUUGAGAACUGAAUUCCAUGGGUUGUGUCAGUGUCAGACCUGUGAAAUUCAGUUCUUCAGCUGGGAUAUCUCUGUCAUCUUGGGCUUGAGGACACUGGAGAGAGUAGAUCCUGAAGAACUUUUUCAGUCUGCUGAAGAGCUUGGAAGACUGGAGACAGAAGGCAGAGUCUCAGGCUCUGAAGGUAUAAGGAGUGUGGGUUCCUGUGAGAAACACUCAUUUGAUUGUGAAAAGACUUGAAUUCUUUGCUAAGCAGGAUUCCAAGUAGCUAAAUGAAUGAUCUCAGCAAGUCUCUUGCUGCUGCUGCUGCUGCUGCUGCUGCUGCUGCUGCUGCUGCUACUGCUACUCAUUUACAUUUAUUGAUUACUUACGAUGAUUCAGGUACUGUUGUAUGUGCUUUACAUGCUGCUAUAGGAGACUCUUGGGAGAAAUCACUUUAAUGAAGCUUGAGACACAUGGCAUUGCCAUGCAAUGAUUUUCCCCCUUCUUCACGGGAUCAGAGGGAACUAAUAGAAUGUGACAAUGAUUCUUUAGCAUGGACUGCUGAGGCUUCUGGUUCCUUUUUAAGGUCUGCGGUGAAAGAAGAUGAGAAACACGGGUAUGCCCUUUUUUUGGUACCCCUCUUCCUUUAUUUGAAUCUCUACUUCCUUCUAUAAAUAUAUUAGGGCUACAUUGUCCCUUUGUAUUUCAAACAAGGCAAAAAGAGGUUGUAAUUAGACUUUACUGCAAUCCUCAGUUUCUCCAGGGAACAGGAAUGCAAAGGUUUUGAAGGCCUCUCUAUUUGCUGACAUGGUCAGCUGGGUACCAUGGGCCAAGUUCUUCUGUUGCCCUCCUCCAUCACCAAGUAAGCUAGGUCCAUUCUGAGGCUCAGUUUUGCUGUGAUGAUGACCACUUUUAGGCAGAAGGUUAGAGGCCUCAUGAGUGCUAUAUGGACUUUAUUAGGCUUUAGAUUUGAUGGGGAAUAAGGGAUGUGAUUUGUCUUUUGGGAACUCAUCUUUGAUUCAUCAUUGUCUCUUGGUAUCUUGGAAUUUCCAUGUCAUUAUAGUCUACAGAAUGAAAGAGUAACCUGUCCCAGAGGAGAGGCAGGUGAAAGACUCCACAGCAUGCUCAUUCUCAUUCUGUCUUCUCAGUGACACCGAGGUUUACUGAGUGCCCACUAUGUGCCAAGCACUGUGCUCAGGGCUUUCUUUGUAUGCAUGAUCUCAGUGAAUCUCACCAAGCCUGAUCUGGAAAACGGGGACAAAUUAACAACAGGAUGGCAAAUUAAUAAACACGUAACCAUGUUCUACAGAUGCAAAGGGGUGCUUGGUUAUUAUGAAGGCCCCCUGGCAAAUGUGUGGGACAUGGGUGUGUUCUCUGGGUUGUUCUGAUCAGAUCAAGGACCUUCCCCACCCUUCUCACACUCUGCCCACUUCCGCCCUUUGCUUAUCAGACCCUUAGCCAGUGACUCAUUCUAGAACCAGAACCUUGGUGAAAUCUCAACUGACACCAGAGAUCGGUGUCUUCAGUCCUAGACUGAUGGAGAAAAUCCAGAAUAUAUACUAGAAGCUCCAAAUGCUCUGGGUUUCAGCAGUCUGUGCUAUGGACACUGACUUUGGCUCAGAACUCCGAUUUAGUACAAAAGGCUCAUUUUUAUUUCAGGGGCACUCUUCCUAAAGCAAACCUAAUAAAUGAAAUAUGGAAUUCACAGAUACACACACAUGUUAAAAAAUUAACCUGGAGUAUCUGUGAGGAGUAGGAAGAAAUUCACUAUAUAAAAGAAUGCUUCAUUUCAUAGAGAAUUUGUGUUAAGAUUCCAUUAGAUAGUACAUUUUUCAAAGAUUUUUGAGGUUGUAUUUGCUUUAUCAAAACUUGGUUUAUGUAAGUGGAAAAAGCAUGUUGCAAAAUAACUUAGUGUCUAUGAUUCAGUUUAUGUAAAAUAAUAAGUGUACGUAGGAAUACGUGUGUUGAAAGAUGUACAUCAAUUUGUUAACAAUGGUUAUCUCUGAGGUGGUGGGAUUUGAGAUGUGUUUUUCUUUUUUUUUUUGUAUUUUUCUCUAUUGUUUGACUUAAUACAAAACAUGUUUAGUUACAACAAUAAAGUUAUUGAAGACAAUAUAACACCCAAUUGUGAUGAGUCCAGACAGUACUCAUGCUGUGCAUUUAUUAGACAGUAUGCUGUAGAGGUAAGUCAUGGAGGAGUGGAGAGAGAGAGAGCCCUGAUUUGUUGUCCCAUAAAGAAGAUAGGCACAGGGUAAUAUGUAGUGUGAUUCUUUUUUUUUUUUUGCACGAGGAGAAAUGUGUGUGUAUCCGUGUAAGUGUAUGGAUGUCCAGUGGGUAGUGGGUGUUAAGAUUGCAAGUGAUUUUUUUCCCCUCUCCCUUAAUUAUGCUUUUCUGCCUAAAUAAAAAAGGAACACUCUCCAAAAA
Symphalangus syndactylus (siamang) is the source of this 2936-nucleotide long non-coding RNA. RefSeq lists it as uncharacterized. NCBI's taxonomy places the organism in Eukaryota, Metazoa, Chordata, Mammalia, Primates, Hylobatidae. The record is from RefSeq and is a predicted model, not a curated record.